GAUUACUCUGACACUUUUUCUCCUAUAGCUAAAUUUACUUCUGUUCGCUUGUUUAUCUUUUUAGCAGCUACAUAUGAUUGGCCUCUGCACCAAUUAUAUAUCAAGAAUGUCUUUUUUCAUGGUGAUCUUCAAAAGGAGGUGUAUAUGGAGUGACUACCAAGAUUUGUUACUAAGGGAGAGUUAGGUAAAGUUUACAGACUUCAAAAGUCUCUUUAUGGCCUAAAACAAAGUCUUAGGACUUGGUUUGGGAGAUUCAAUGAAGCAGUACAAGAUUUUAGUGUACAAAAUAGUAAGUGUGAUCAUUCAGUAUUCUAUAGGCAUUCUAAGGCUGGCUUAAUUCUGUUGAUAGUGUAUGUUGAUGAUAUUGUUA
RNAcentral lists this unclassified non-coding RNA (370 nucleotides) under Hevea brasiliensis (rubber tree). Lineage: Eukaryota; Viridiplantae; Streptophyta; Magnoliopsida; Malpighiales; Euphorbiaceae. The record is from RNAcentral.